UCAGGUGUUAGAUAACAAUCUUUUUUCCACCCCACCUUCACAUGUUAAUGACUUCUAAGCUGGCAUGGCUGUCAUCCCUCUGUAAGCGCUAAGGUGGCCACAAAACACUCCAUUGUAACAGGAUGUGUUUCAACUGUUAAAUGAACAUAAUAGUCAGCAUAGGCAGUAGUGAAUAUCAAUGUGUAAUGUUGACUACCUUUUGUGAGUCUACAUAGAAAAGUAUUUCCUUAUUUAGGAUAAAUGCUUAAUGAAUUCACUUACUGCAAGAUGUUGUAUAAUUACUUUAACUGAUUGGAGCCUGAGCCCCCCUAAAGCUUACGUCCCAGAAUGGCUCCUGCAGUUACUAUGUAGAUUAAAGCAGUGGUCUCCAACCCCCGCGCCGCGGCCCAGUACUAGGCCGUGAGUCACUUGGUACCGGGCCGUGGGUCAUUUGGUACCGGGCCGCACAGAAAGAAAAAACUAUUUCCAUUAUUUCUUUUUUUUGGAUGUUUUAUUUUGAAAAGUGGCCGGAUUCUCUCUGUUACAUCCGUCUCACUUGACGCAUGUCCAUUCUGCGUGUGCUAACUUUAUCUCUUGCCUCACAGAUACACUACUAUAUUUUUAGCAUUUUUCUUUCACCUCAUAUUUGGUGUCAAAUGCUGAUACUAUGUGGGAAUGCAUAAAGAAGGUCAUCAAUUCGCAGGCUGAUGCUGAAGCAGCACGUUGGCGUUGGAGUGAGCAGAAAGAUGCUGUACCACUGACAGUAAGACUUUAAUACCUGUUCUAAUGUUGACUUAAUACUUGAAUUGGCCAAUGAUGGAAUAUUAUACAAAUAUUAUUUUGUUCUAUGCAUGAUUAAUGUAAUAUUAAUGUGUUUGACUAA
This is a long non-coding RNA of Dunckerocampus dactyliophorus (ringed pipefish), 862 nucleotides long. RefSeq lists it as uncharacterized. The record is from RefSeq and is a predicted model, not a curated record. Lineage: Eukaryota; Metazoa; Chordata; Actinopteri; Syngnathiformes; Syngnathidae. The transcript is spliced from 3 exons.